Molecule: long non-coding RNA, 5464 nt
Organism: Bos indicus x Bos taurus (hybrid cattle)
Lineage: Eukaryota; Metazoa; Chordata; Mammalia; Artiodactyla; Bovidae
Source: Ensembl
GUGUUCCCUUAUUCUUAACAGUUGUUCUUUGGAGUAUUAGGUGAAGUGAUAAAAGUAUAUUCUUUUACUACAUUUUACUUCUCAGUUUAGUUAUAACAUUGUGUUCAGGUCCCAAGUUUCAAUCAGUGUUUUUUCCCGGAUGGGGGUGGGUCGACCUUCAAAGUGUUACAUCAUUAAAAAAAAAAACUAAAAUAAGGGACCAAAGAAAGCACUUUGAUGAGAAGUGCAACAGUUGUGCUCCUGAAGAAAUUAGUUGAAUUUCCUAGUAAGAGUUUCACUCAGUUGUAAGACUCAUUUGUUGAUUUUAAAAAGGCCAAAUUCCAUUAUCAUAGCAUAUUAGCUACUCCAGAAACAGAAUUUCCUCUUCCUGUUGAUGCAGUCUAGUAUCAUGUGAAUGCCUACCUAAAAGAUUCCAUUAAAUAUUUAACCUAUUUUCUUUUUAAAGCAUCUAUGGAGUGUAUGUGCCAAGCACAGAGCUGUGCCUAGGAGUCAGCAGUGAACAAGUCAUUCAUGCCUCCCCACCUACAUGAGUUCACAGCCUGGCCAAGAGUGAAGCCCUAAGCCUUGGUGGGUUUUGACAGCUCAUGAGGAGACACAUCACCUUGCUGCCUGGUUAUACUUUUCUGCACCUUCCCAGCACACGUCUGGAUGCCUCAGAAGCGGACCAGGGAAUGAUCAGAUCAGCAGAGGGUGUGGCCUUGUCUUGCUUCCGGACAGCCCCCUGGGGAGUCACAGAUUGGUCCUCAGGAGGAUCACACCCCCGAGAGCAUUUGCAUGAUGAGGCUGCCUUCUGGACGCACGAACACAUGUCCCUGAGCUGGGGUGCAUCAGGCGAUGAGGUCUGGUCCCUGAGGAACACCGUCCCCAAGACAGACAGGUUUUCCUUGGAGGAAAUCCUCCCAUUUUCCCUGUGGGAGACACCUUGUUUCUGCUGGCCAGGCCUUCUGCCCCUUGCAGCCCCUUUCAUUGUGUCCAUGUCUCCCAUCAGCAGCACACGUCUGGAUGCCUCAGAAGUGGACCAGGGAAUGACCAGGUAGACUGUCCUGACACGAUGCCACCAGAGACUCCACAGCUGGAAGAUCCUAUUUAAGCUCCAAAUUACCGUGUUUUUUUUUUUUUUUUUUUAAGGCGUGACCUCUGCUCUCCACAUCAUACUGACUUUAUUUUUUCUUCUUUUUCUCACUCUUGUUUCUUCUUUUGUCUGGAUAUGGACCUAUUUUUCAACUGGGAUCAGAAGGUACAAAAAGAUAUAAUAGUUGAGUGCCAAAAAUAACCUAGACACAGCUUUGAGAGCAAUGCUCCAUGAAUAAUUUGAAGCAAGUGAUGGAUAUACUCAUACUGCUCAUGGGGUCCUCAAGGCAAGAAUACUGAAGUGGUUUGCCAUUCCCUUCUGCAGUGGACCACAUUCUGUCAGAACUCUCCAGCAUGACACGACCAUCUUGGGUGGCCCUACACAACAAACUGUGGAAAAUUCUUCAAGAGAUGUGAAUACUAGACCACAUUACCUGCCUCCUGAGAAAUCAGUAUGCAGGUCAAAAAGCAACAGUUAGAACCAAACAUGGAACAAUGGACUGGUUCCAAAUUGGAAAGAAAUACCUCAAGGAUGUAUUUGGGUUGUCAAAUACAUCAAGGGUUGUCACCCUUCUUAUUUAACUUCUAUGCAGAGUACAUCAUGCAAAAUUCCGGGCUGGAUGAAGCACAAGCUCGAACUUAGAUUUCCUGGAGAAAUAUCAAUAAUCUCAGAUACGCAUGUGACACCACCCUUAUGGCAGAAUGUGAAGUGGAACUGAAGAGCCUCUUGAUGAAAGUGAAAGAGGAGAAUGAAAAAGCUGGCUUAAAGAAGACCCUUGCAAGUCCCUUGACUGCAAUGAAAUCCAACCAGUCAGUCCGAAAGGAAAUCAGCCCUGACUAUUCAUUUGAAGGACUGGUGCUGAAGCUGAAACUCCAAUACUUUGGCCUCCAGAUGGGAAGAUCUGACUCAUUGGAAAAGACCCUUAUGCUGGGAAAGAUUGAAGGCAGGAGGAGAAGGGGGACGACAGAGGAUGAGAUGGUUGGAUGGUCUCACCGACUCGUUGGACAUGAGUUUGAGUAAGCUCCAGGAGUUGGUGAUGAACAGGGAAACCUGGUGUGCUCAGUCCAAGGGGUUGCAAAGAGUCGGACACAACUUAGCGCCUGGACUGAAUGGACAUAUUCACUGUCUCUAGUUGCAAACAGUGUACUUGUAGGUGGAAUAAUUUCUGUGAAUGAGCAGGAGGGAGCAUAUGGAGGGGACCGCCCUGUCUUUUGCACAUAGCUACUCCUCUAUAAAAACAGCCUCCACCAGGUCUAUGGGACCUCUAGUUCAGGUUGUUUCUUUCUGCUGUUUGCUGAGAAAACCAGCACAAGCCAACCAGAAUCUAUUCUUAUUAGACUCAAGGUACCCAGUCCUCAGAGUAAAGAGCUGAGGCACGUUCAUGAGAAUGUUCACUUUGCUCUACACCUGAAACUAACAACAUUAUUCAUCAACUAUACUCCAAUGUAAACCAAAAAGUUAAAAAAAGAAAAGAAUGUUCUGUGGGUUCUGGGCUGACAGAGUCCUUACCUCUUCUCAGGCUUCAUUAACUGAUGUAGCUCACUAUUUUCACACUAGUUAUCUUUGGGCACAUAUUGAUAUAGAGUGUCACAUAUUCCUGGAAAGUAUUCCAAGUGCUCAAGUGCAUGGAAGGCCCUGAUCUCCCAUCAUCCUGGAGUCACUAUUGGGAUUGUUUAGGUCUCAUCUCUGAAAACAAAUCCUUCAAGUGUAAUCGUGCUGAUUGGCCUGGUACAUGUAGACUUCCUGAAGUUUUCAAAUCCAGUGUAUUCCCCAAACGGGUUCACAUGGAGGAGCCUGCAUUCUUUAUAAUUUUGUUCAAAAUAUACAUGUUUCCUGUACCCCAAAGCCUUGCCUUCAGUGGGCAGGGAAUUUAGACCUCUAGAGACCUUAGAUAAAACCAGUAUGAUUAAGAUCUGAUCUGCACUCAGGAAAGGUGCUAUCCUGUGACUUGAAUGUUGUGGUUUAUAGUAAGAAAGAUGAAUUUGGUAUUUCUCCUGGUUGCUGGCAUAGCUACUAAAGCCACUGGAAUUUCUUAGGUGUGAAAGUGAUAAAUGGGCCUUGUUAUGUUAAUGAGGUGACCUUUAUAAGCAUCCCAGUGACCAAAGAAUAGGGGCUACCUGAUCAUUUCAGAACCCCAGGUUAGAGGGAGGAGAGAGGAGCUGGAGGUUGAACCCAUCACCAGUGUCUAAUGAGUUAAUCAGGACUCUGUAAUGGAGCCUCUGUAAAAACCCAAAAGGACUGAUUUGGAAAGCUUCCAGGUUGGUGAACAGGUGGGGAUUUGGGGAGGACAGGGAAGCUCAUGCCCUUUCCCCUUACCUUGCUUGAGGCACAUCUUCCAUCUGGCUGUCCCUGAGUUCAGCCUUUUAUUAUAUAAUGAUAAUCUAAUCAGUAAAACAUUUCUGAGUUCUGUAAGCAAGUUGAUUGACCCCAAGAAGGGUCCUUGGAACCUCUGCACUCUAGUGGGUCCUCCAGGAGCACAGCUGAGAACCUGGCCUCCGACUGCUUCUGAAGUGGGGGAGGGGCAGGCAGCCUUCUAAGACUGAGCCCUGAACUUGUGGGAUCUGAAAUUUUCUGUCAGUGUACAUUUGUAAGACAACAAAUGUCAGAAAUUGCUUGGUGGUGUGGGGAAAACACACAGACACAUUGGAACUUGUCUAUUAAUAGAAUCUUAUCAUGCUUACCAGGCUACCGUCACUGCUGUCUAUGCAUGGGGCACCUACAUUUGUAGGAGCCCUCUGACUUCAGAGCAGUCAAGCUGGGGAGAGCCUGUAGGCUUCAGGGAAAGCAGAACAGUAGCAAGUACAGCUAGUGUGAGGCUGACUUCUCCCUAUUUACCACACAUUUGUAUUUCUCAAAGGAAGAUCAUUGGAUUAUUUUCCCAUCAUCACUGUAAUGUCCUGUCUUCUGAGGUUUGAUUUAGUGAUAGUUCAUGCCCACAACAUUGGGCCAUUGUGUCUUUGUAUAGGAGCUCUGUUGCUUUCACUCAACCAUAUGCCAUGAUCACCAGAAACCUUUCCUGAAGAAAAAGCUUUGAUCACUUUCUCUAGGACGGUUAUGUCGGGGAUGUUUGUUUGUUUGUUGGCAGUCUCUACUCAGAGCAUUUCUAGGUAGAAAAAAGACCAUGUCAUCUGUACUAAUGUGAAGAGAGGAACGGACUAUCCUGGUGUCUGCUUCCUGUCUGGGAGGCUCCCUUAUGAGCAGAUACCAUAGGACCAUGUGAGAUGAGUAACCUCAAGGGGAAUGUGCCUUUGCCUUUAUGUUUAAGCUUUUUUUUUUUUUUGGCCAUGCUGUUUGGCAAAUGGGGUCUUAUUUUCUGGAUCAUGCCUGGAGACGUGGUCCCAUGCAGUGUAAGCCUGGAGUCCUAAUCACUGGACCUCCAGGAAAGUCCCGCCUUCGCCUUUUAAAUUCUACCAGGUAGGUGAGUGGUUCAUGAUGUGUGGUCCCAGGACCUGGAGCAGCACCAUCGCUCAUGAGCUUGUUUAAAUGCAAAUAUCAGGCUUCAGUCCAGAGUGCCGUGUGCACGGCCAUGCUAUCUACGUUAGACAAGCUCCACGAGUGAUUCUUUUUUCUCACUCAACAACAGUUUGUUUGUUUUCGUAAUAAUAUAUCAUAUUUGGCAUCAUAUUUGAUGAUAUCAUUGCCUUUAUUUUCUCCAAAACUCCUUUCCUCAGAAAUUUUGGGGUAUAAUGAAAUGAGAAAUAUACUUCCAGAGGAGCAUCCUGCUCAUUGUAAAAUUAAAAAAUUGAACUCAAGCCCCCUCAAUGAUUCUGUUGCAAGUCCUAGGGUGAGAAGCACUGAAGUAGGAUAUUCAGACAGAGAUGGGGGAGCGUCCUCACUCAAUUACAGUCUGUGAUCAGCAUCCUAAGAGAGCAUUCUGAAUGAGGUCAUUUAACUGUUUUUUUCUCCUUUAAUUUCAACAUUAGAUAAUUUUUUUAAGUUUAUGCCAAUCCUGGGCUUGGAGGGAGCCAGUUUUCUUAUAUUUACACAUUUUAUUCUAACCAUAUCUUAUUUCAGGUGUGACUCAGAAAUUAAACCUGUUAGGUAGUUAGAAUAGGGAAAAGGAGUCCAAAAUGGUGGUGGCUAAAAGACAAGGAAGGGAAAAGCCCUCAAACAAAGAACAGAGGAAGGUCAAAGGAAGGUCCGAGGACCGGAGUGAGGACUUCAGGUAGAACAGGACUCCUGACUAAGUCCAACUGGCAUAGGGCAGGCCCGGGGGAAGACAGAAACAUAUAAAAGAGGAGCCAAAGGGCUCUCUCUCUCUCCGGCUUCCCCACCCCCGUGCGCUGGGGUGCUCUUCUCUUCGCAUCUUUGCAUCCACGUGGCCUCAUGCCUCGAAGAUGGAUUUUCCUGCUAUCUUCUAAAUAAAAUAGAGCUGUAACACUGAGAGCUACA